This 903-nucleotide small RNA is filed under the name Pan troglodytes (chimpanzee). RNAcentral's name for it is "processed transcript". The record is from RNAcentral. Lineage: Eukaryota; Metazoa; Chordata; Mammalia; Primates; Hominidae.
UUCAGUGCGUGCGUGAGCGAGUGAGCGAAAAGGAGAGCGCGCGGCGGACGCGCCCGGGACGCGCGGCGGCACCGGGAGGCCGGGCCGAGCGAAAUGUGAUCUCGCUGUGUUGCCCAGUACUGGCCUCAAGCGAGCCUCCUACCUCAGCCUUCCAAAGUGUUGGGAUUAUAGGCGUGAGCCACUGCACCUGGCACAGUCUUAAAACAUUUUGGAAAAAGUUGAAGCUCCCCUUUUCUACCCUCCUGAUUCUGUGCUUCUGUUGGAGUGCAUAUCACUUGAUGGCUUCUAAGACAAAUGCUAAAUUCUUGUCAGAUUACACAGUUUUGAGAGAUUACCUGAAGUUGCACUCAAAAGCAAGAUAUACUACUAACUUUGAAAUGGAAUAAGGCCCUCCCUAUCCUGAAGACAUUAGCUGAGAGUCUGGCACCUUUUAAAAGUCUGAUCAUCAAUUGUCUCUCUGGGCGGCCACCUAUGAGACUUCAUCUGUGUGCUUUAUAAAUAGCAGUCCAGGGCAACAGUACUUGAUAAAAAGGUUAUACCUUAUUGGUGUGGAUGUUGUCUAAAUUUCGGUAGCCAUGGCACAAGAAUAUAGAUGUGGAGAAAGUUUGGGACCUCAAGAGAAAGAGUGGAUGUCUACAGCUGCACAAGGAAGGGCAAACCAGCAGAGCUCCUGGGACCUGCUGAAGGAGGAAAGAUGCCCGAGAGCUGGGCAGAGGAAAAUCCCUCCUGCUUUCAACAACUAUGCAUUUCCAAAUGUCGAAAGAGAGAUUGCAGAGCUCAACAACAUGAAUAUUUUCUGGCUUACCUGCCAAUGGUUUUUUUCUCCCCCUAAAAUGAAACAAUAUCCAUUAUCUCUAGCGACAUGUCUAUUUUAACUUUGUCACUGUUAACAGUGGUUACUGG